CGUGCGUUUUUGUCAUGGCUCAUUAAAGGGGUCUGGGUCAAAAAUGCUCCCGAACAGUAUUGCCAUUGUAUUUAGUUACAAAACGUUAACCACAGCGGAUCAAAAUGUUUUGGGAUCUACUCGGUGGAAUUGUCGAGUUCAUUUUCGGGCUCUUGUUUCCCAGUUCUGGCAGUGGCGAUGAACCAGACUCUGAGGAGGUGGAAACUACCUGAUGCCUAAACAAAUAUUAUUUUUUACCAAUGUUAUUUUGUAAAAGUUCCAUGUUUUCGCUUUAUUUCAUCUACGUAGAGUGUGUUUAUUUAACAUAAACUGCUUUAACAGCUACUA
Molecule: long non-coding RNA, 327 nt
Organism: Drosophila rhopaloa
Lineage: Eukaryota; Metazoa; Arthropoda; Insecta; Diptera; Drosophilidae
Exons: 2
Source: RefSeq, a predicted model, not a curated record